Molecule: ribosomal RNA, 484 nt
Filed under: uncultured bacterium
Lineage: Bacteria
Description: partial 16S ribosomal RNA
Rfam family: Bacterial small subunit ribosomal RNA
Source: RNAcentral
AUUGAACGCUGGCGGCAGGCCUAACACAUGCAAGUCGAGCGGAUGAGGGGAGCUUGCUCCUGGAUUCAGCGGCGGACGGGUGAGUAAUGCCUAGGAAUCUGCCUGGUAGUGGGGGAUAACGUCCGGAAACGGGCGCUAAUACCGCAUACGUCCUGAGGGAGAAAGUGGGGGAUCUUCGGACCUCACGCUAUCAGAUGAGCCUAGGUCGGAUUAGCUAGUUGGUGGGGUAAAGGCCUACCAAGGCGACGAUCCGUAACUGGUCUGAGAGGAUGAUCAGUCACACUGGAACUGAGACACGGUCCAGACUCCUACGGGAGGCAGCAGUGGGGAAUAUUGGACAAUGGGCGAAAGCCUGAUCCAGCCAUGCCGCGUGUGUGAAGAAGGUCUUCGGAUUGUAAAGCACUUUAAGUUGGGAGGAAGGGCAGUAAGUUAAUACCUUGCUGUUUUGGCGUUACCAACAGAAUAAGCACCGGCUAACUUCGUG